CUGUUUNCAAAAAUCUACGUGAUCUGAAUUCGACCGGACUCACCUGUUUACAAAACUUGNUNUUUGAUCUGGAUUAAGACGGGCGGCGCCUGUUGGAUUAAACUGUCUCCCCCCUUCGAUCACUGAAACUGAUCCCCCCGUGAAGAAGCGGGAAUAAACCUAUGANACGAGAAGACCCUGUGGAGCUUUAAACCUACACCACCCAUCUCAAAAUACACCAUAACAAACAGAUGGGCUUACGUACUAGUUUUAGGUUGGGGCGACCACGGAGUAAAACUAAACCUCCGCGAUGAAAAGACUUUACUUUCUAAUCCAAGAGCAACAUCUCUAAGAAUCAACAAACUGACAUAAUUGACCCAAACACUUUGAUCAACGAACCAAGUUACCCCAGGGAUAACAGCGCAAUCCAUUUCAAGAGCCCCUAUCGACAAAUGGGUUUACGACCUCGAUGUUGGAUCAGGGUAUCCCAGUGGUGCAACCGCUACUAAAGGUUCGUUUGUUCAACGAUUAAAACCCUACGUGAUCUGAGUUCAGACAGGAGAAGUNYSAR
This 550-nucleotide ribosomal RNA is filed under the name Syncope sp. 31. Its description in RNAcentral is "partial 16S ribosomal RNA". The stretch from base 136 to 550 matches the Rfam family "Bacterial large subunit ribosomal RNA", at positions 2049 to 2630 of the family's 2925-position model. Lineage: Eukaryota; Metazoa; Chordata; Amphibia; Anura; Microhylidae. The record is from RNAcentral.